GACGAACGCUGGCGGCAUGCCUAAUACAUGCAAGUCGAACGAUGAUAUUCUCUGCUUGCAGAGAUUUGAAGAGUAGCGAACGGGUGAGUAACACGUGGGGAACCUGCCCAUGAGAGGGGGAGAACAUUCGGAAACGGAUGCUAAUACCGCAUAAUGCUUUGGACCGCCUGGUCCAGAGACGAAAGACGGCUUUUGCUGUCACUCAUGGAUGGCCCCGCGCCGUAUUAGCUAGUUGGUGAGGUAAUGGCUCACCAAAGCUGUGAUACGUAGCCGACCUGAGAGGGUGAUCGGCCACACUGGAACUGAGACACGGCCCAGACUCCUACGGGAGGCAGCAGUGGGGAAUCUUCCACAAUGGGCGCAAGCCUGAUGGAGCAAUGCCGCGUGGAUGAAGAAGGUCUUCGGAUCGUAAAGUUCUGUUAUUAGAGAAGAACAAGUCAAGGAGUAACUGUCUUGGCUUUGACGGUACCUAACGAGAAAGUCACGGCUAACUACGUG
RNAcentral lists this ribosomal RNA (498 nucleotides) under uncultured bacterium. RNAcentral's name for it is "partial 16S ribosomal RNA". It matches the Rfam family "Bacterial small subunit ribosomal RNA", at positions 28 to 507 of the family's 1533-position model. The record is from RNAcentral.